AGAUCAAUAAAAGUCUCAUCUGGAAGGGCUGCCUAGCUUAAAGGAUCAGUGGUGAUUUGUGGAGAUUUGAAGGGAUCCACAAUAAAUAAUAACCUAAGACAAUGUCAGCCUGCUGUGCCUUAUGUAAAAGGAAUCGUGAUGUAUUUUUAUUUGUAAGGAACUGCACAUCUUCUUUGCCUACCAGGAGCCUUUCUCUAUAUGUCGCAUUGAGAUCAUCUUCUCUCAGGAUUGACACCUUCCAGAAUAGCUCCUAGAUGUGCUGAUUACUCUCUGGGUUUAUCCACAAAGACUUGUUUCAUGUCCUCUCUUUUCUUGCUCUUGAAAAUGAAGAAUGCCUCCUUUACCUAUUCCUCGGACUUCUCCACGUGGUCUCUGAAGAUUACCUUGUCUUUGAGUCUGGGUUGGUCUGAGUGAGAUGCCUCCUGAGGGGACUAGAUCUGACCCAGAGGAAAGACAAACAGACCACAUCCAGGAGUAACAUGCUGUUGACAACUAUGGCAGCAGAAAGGACAUGAACGUCAAGGCUGGAGAAGGUAGAUGCUGGCAGUAGCUGCAAGGAGUUGGUAUUUGUCAGGGCUCCCUGAGAAAGCAGAGCCUGAUGUAAAAAUGUGAGUUUGCAAGAUUUGCUGAGGGAAAUGUCCUUCAGGAAAACCCUUUAAGAGUGAUGGGAAAAGGAACCGCAUGGAGAAAGAGCCAAACAAGCUUGUGACCUGCGAUAAAGUCACAAAGUGUAAAUCACAAGACUGAGGGCUUGGGUUGUGAAUUUUCAUAUCACUCAUUCAUGCCCACUGGUUGCCCCUGUGUUUGGAGGCAGGACAUCACCUCCAGCUUUAAGCCAGUUUUCUGUUGGUUGAGGUCAGUUCGCCACAGAGGGGAGGCAGCUGGAGGUCAUCAGCAGCCCAUAUUCACAUGGCUGAAGGAUGGGAGCAGUCGCUGGCCUCAGGGAUCAAGUACCUUCCCAGAUGCAGUUUCACAUGAGAAGCUGACAUCCUCUGGUGAGGGCCUUGAACGUCCCUGACUACACCCUCAUUAUUACAAUGAAGCAACUUAUGGGACUGUGUUGAGCUCAGUACUAGGACUCAGAGCUUUCCCUCUUUCGCUCCAUCCAUCCCCAAAAGGAUAUUUACAGAGAUUUUUCAAGCUGUCCCAACAGUGUGCUGUCUAGAACAGAACUCUCUGCUCAGUUCCAUCACUGUGAAUUUUACUAAACGUUUAGAGCCAUGGAUCCACCAUCACAAUCAGCAUACAGAAACAACUAAAAGUGGUGUCACUGAAUCAUAUG
Molecule: non-coding RNA, 1282 nt
Organism: Odocoileus virginianus texanus
Lineage: Eukaryota; Metazoa; Chordata; Mammalia; Artiodactyla; Cervidae
Source: RefSeq, a predicted model, not a curated record